This 635-nucleotide ribosomal RNA is filed under the name uncultured fungus. RNAcentral describes it as "eukaryotic LSU rRNA". It matches the Rfam family "Eukaryotic large subunit ribosomal RNA", at positions 23 to 673 of the family's 3401-position model. The record is from RNAcentral. Lineage: Eukaryota; Fungi.
ACCCGCUGAAUUUAAGCAUAUCAAUAAGCGGAGGAAAAGAAACCAACAGGGAUUGCCCUAGUAACGGCGAGUGAAGCGGCAACAGCUCAAAUUUGAAAUCUGGCUCUUUCAGAGUCCGAGUUGUAAUUUGCAGAGGGCGCUUUGGCUUUGGCAGCGGUCCAAGUUCCUUGGAACAGGACGUCACAGAGGGUGAGAAUCCCGUACGUGGUCGCUAGCUAUUGCCGUGUAAAGCCCCUUCGACGAGUCGAGUUGUUUGGGAAUGCAGCUCUAAAUGGGAGGUAAAUUUCUUCUAAAGCUAAAUAUUGGCCAGAGACCGAUAGCGCACAAGUAGAGUGAUCGAAAGAUGAAAAGCACUUUGGAAAGAGAGUCAAACAGCACGUGAAAUUGUUGAAAGGGAAGCGCUUGCAGCCAGACUUGCUUGCAGUUGCUCAUCCGGGCUUUUGCCCGGUGCACUCUUCUGUAGGCAGGCCAGCAUCAGUUUGGGCGGUGGGAUAAAGGUCUCUGUCACGUACCUCUCUUCGGGGAGGCCUUAUAGGGGAGACGACAUACCACCAGCCUAGACAGAGGUCCGCGCAUCUGCUAGGAUGCUGGCGUAAUGGCUGUAAGCGGCCCGUCUUGAAACACGGACCAAGGAG